AUACGUAGGUGGCAAGCGUUGUCCGGAUUUAUUGGGCGUAAAGCGAGCGCAGGCGGUUUCUUAAGUCUGAUGUGAAAGCCCCCGGCUCAACCGGGGAGGGUCAUUGGAAACUGGGAGGCUUGAGUGCAGAAGAGGAGAGUGGAAUUCCAUGUGUAGCGGUGAAAUGCGUAGAUAUAUGGAGGAACACCAGUGGCGAAGGCGACUCUCUGGGCUGAAACUGACGCUGAGGCUCGAAAGCGUGGGGAGCAAACAGGAUUAGAUACCCUGGUAGUCCACGCCGUAAACGAUGAGUGCUAAGUGUUGGAGGGUUUCCGCCCUUCAGUGCUGCAGCUAACGCAUUAAGCACUCCGCCUGGGGAGUACGACCGCAAGGUUGAAACUCAAAGGAAUUGACGGGG
This 397-nucleotide ribosomal RNA is filed under the name uncultured bacterium. RNAcentral's name for it is "partial 16S ribosomal RNA". It matches the Rfam family "Bacterial small subunit ribosomal RNA", at positions 523 to 918 of the family's 1533-position model. The record is from RNAcentral.